AACAGACCUCAAUAUAUACCCCGAGGACUGUAAGAGGAAAAAGGCAUUCAUAUGUGAAAGCAAAAACAAAGCACCUCCGUAUGAGUCCUGUAUGGAAACGUCGGAAACAUCUAGUCUAAAGGACAGGGAACCUCAGAAUUUGUGCAAGGACUUUUUUUUCUUUGGUGUAAAUAACGCUCAGGAGUGCGAAUCAUAUUGCAUAGAUCGAUUUCAAUGCUACACAAUGAUGUGGACCAUGGACAAAUGUGAAUCGUACCGAUAUAUGGAUGAACAAACUUGUAGUGAAAUGGGGAGAAAUCUUUCUUCAUCUCUGCGUCACAAAAGUAUUUUCCUGUUCAAUAAUGAGGACUAUUUGUUGGCAACAACCAAACCUCUAG
Saccostrea cuccullata (small rock oyster) is the source of this 377-nucleotide long non-coding RNA. RefSeq lists it as uncharacterized. The record is from RefSeq and is a predicted model, not a curated record. Lineage: Eukaryota; Metazoa; Mollusca; Bivalvia; Ostreida; Ostreidae. The transcript has 3 exons.